UACGGAGGAUCCAAGCGUUAUCCGGAUUUAUUGGGUUUAAAGGGUCCGCAGGCGGGAUACUAAGUCAGUGGUGAAAGGCUGUUGCUUAACAAUGGCACUGCCAUUGAUACUGGUAUUCUUGAGUAUAGUUGAGGUAGGCGGAAUAAGUCAUGUAGCGGUGAAAUGCAUAGAUAUGACUUAGAACACCGAUUGCGAAGGCAGCUUACUAAGCUAUAACUGACGCUGAGGGACGAAAGCGUGGGUAGCAAACAGG
This 253-nucleotide unclassified non-coding RNA is filed under the name uncultured Cryomorphaceae bacterium. RNAcentral's name for it is "contains 16S-23S intergenic spacer region". It matches the Rfam family "Bacterial small subunit ribosomal RNA", at positions 524 to 776 of the family's 1533-position model. The record is from RNAcentral. Lineage: Bacteria; Pseudomonadati; Bacteroidota; Flavobacteriia; Flavobacteriales; Cryomorphaceae.